This 125-nucleotide small RNA is filed under the name Marmota monax (woodchuck). Lineage: Eukaryota; Metazoa; Chordata; Mammalia; Rodentia; Sciuridae. The record is from RNAcentral.
GCUGGGUAUGGUGGCCCAUGCCUGUAAUCCCAGCAGCUCAGGAGGCUGAAGCAGGAGAAUUGCGAGUUCAAAGUCAGCCUCAGUAACAGCAAAGUGCUAAGCAACCCAGUCACAACCUGUAUCUA